This 3288-nucleotide unclassified non-coding RNA is filed under the name Hevea brasiliensis (rubber tree). The record is from RNAcentral. Lineage: Eukaryota; Viridiplantae; Streptophyta; Magnoliopsida; Malpighiales; Euphorbiaceae.
AAAAAAAAAAGAUUGAGAAGAUUUUGAAAGAUGAUAGCCAACUCCAGCCUCAUCUCCUCCAACUUCUCUUCUCUUCCUCUCAAAAAUCCAAGACCGAGAGCUCAUCUCCAGGCUCAAACUCCUAAUCCCAGACUCUUAUCUUUACGUCCCAGCAGAGGAACGGCUUUGAAAAUUUCCAAUUUUCUUAAGCCCCACACCUGUAAGACCUCAAGUUUCCCAUUUCAGAAGAAGGGUCUGCUUCAAGUGUGCCAUAGUGUCUUGGACUCUAAGGAUUCAGAGAAAGAACCAAUUUUGGAGAGUGAAACUAAUGAUGAGAAAGAGGGGCGAGAUUGGACAACCUCCAUCUUACUUUUUGUGUUGUGGGGUGCUCUUAUGUACUACGUUUUUAAUCUCGCUCCUAACCAGACCCCGUCGACAGACGAGUAUUUUUUGAGAAAACUCCUAAAUUUGAAGGGAGAUGAUGGUUUUGAGAUGAAUCAAGUACUUGUGUCUUUAUGGUACAUCAUGGGUUUGUGGCCUUUGGUGUUCAGCAUGCUUCUACUCCCAACCGGCAGAAGGUAAAUUGACGUUCCUUAUCCUUAUUUGUUGUGUAAUUUUAUGAUUUUAUGAUCUCCAGCAAGUACUUCUCUUCUAUUUUGUAUUAAUUACUAAGUUCAGGUUUUUUUUUACAUGGAUUAUCUUUGCCCUGCACUGUUGUUGCUGGGACUUGCAGAGGGACUAACCAUAUGAUUCACUUCUGUUGCAUUUUUAUUUAUAAAGGCCUUAUGGAGGGUGGAUUGUUAUUUUUCAAAUUAUGCAGUUGGUGAUUAUAAUAGAUUAUGCAUGUGAUGAUGGCAGUAAAGCUACGCAUUGUGGCAUGAAAUUUUAGACUUUGUGCCAUGCAUACCACAAUGGACAACGGUUACAUCAAGAGGGAUUUGCAACCCGCUGUUUGAAUUUUUUAUAUUAUUCCAAUUAGAGUGCUUAAUUAAUAUAUCUAAUUCAUGUAUUUGCAGCUCAAAAAGCAAAAUACCAGUUUGGCCAUUCCUGGUACUUUCAUGCUUUGGUGGUGCAUAUGGUCUUCUUCCCUAUUUUGUUCUUUGGAGACCACCACCACCGCCUGUCGAAGAAAGUGAGCUUGGCAAAUGGCCUCUUAAUUUUCUGGAAUCAAAGUUGACAGCUGGGGUAAAUUUUGUUUCUCUCUCUUUGGUUCAUAUACCUUUCUUUUGAUUAAAACUUGCGACAGAGUAAUAGACUGCCGCCUGGGGCUUCUGAAUACUCUGCAGCAUUUGUAUGAUAGUGAACGUGUUGCUUACAUGCGUGAGAUUGAUUAUUUACUUUCUAUGUACAUGGCACAUGAUGUUUCUAACGAAUAUUUUAUUGAACUCAGAAAUACAUGUAUUGCACUAAAGCUGAGGAUGGUUCCACUCUUUAGUUGUUUAACAUGGUCAAACCCUUUAUGGUUCUAAACUGUAAACACCUUAGAUUGUUCUCUUAAGUAUGGGACAUGACUGGAGGAUAAACUGAUGAAUGUGGACUACAGUUUUUAAAAUUGAGGCAAUGAGUGAGAAAUGAAUUACGUUCAUUACAAAUGUUGUGUUUGGGGAAGGAAAAAAGAAGAGAGGGACAGAAAAUGUGCUGAGAGUUCAUAAAUGUUUUAUUUGAAAUAUGGGCCUUAUAGUUCUUUUUUUUUCCCCCUUUUUUCCUUCCCUUCCCAAACACGGCAUAAGGUUCCAAUCAGUUUCCUGUCAAACUGACUGGAGUGGAUUUAUGUUUAAAUUGGUCAAAUGGGUCCUUUCUCUAUCAGAUAUCAGCUGUAAAAUUAGUUAAGAUUUAGUUGGUAGGUUAAGCAAGAAGUUUCAAAAUCUCUUCAUUGAUAUUUCCAUAAAGAAAGAUGAAAAGGCUUCAUGUUCUUUUCUACUCCAUCAAGUCCCUUCUUAAAUAAUGUCAGUAAUUUAAGUUUUGAUCUGGAUUUUUUUUAUCUAUUUCGUAUGGAAAAGUAACUUCUUUAUGCAUAGAUAACACUUGCUGCAGGACUAGGCCUAUUCCUUUAUGCAGGCUUGGCAAAUGGUGACGCCUGGAAAGAGUUCUACCAGUACUUCAGAGAAAGCAAAUUUGUAAGUGCUUGCCAAAUGUCGUUGUUUUUAUUUGUGCAUGCGUAUAUGUCUUCAUCAAAAUUUAACAAAGUGCAGAGUAGAGAAUUGAACCCAGUUACAUUUAAUAUACAUAUUUUUUAUUUUAAUAUGAUAUGUCUUAUGGAAACUUGUUAUAUAUGCCUACCUGGUUCUUGAUUUGCACUGCAGAUUCACAUCAUGUCCCUUGAUUUCACUCUAUUAUCCGCAUUUGCCCCUUUCUGGGUUUACAAUGAUAUGACUGCCAGGAAAUGGUUUGAUAAAGGUUCUUGGCUUCUUCCUAUCUCACUUGUUCCACUCUUGGGUCCUGCAUUAUAUCUGGUUCUACGGCCAUCACUAUCAGAAAUGCCUGUUUCACUGGGUUCAACUUCAUCAGAACAGAAGUAGUAUAUGAACUCUCCUUUAUCUCCUCACCACAGAACGGGGCAAAUUUUAGCAACAUCAACAAGAUUGAAUGAUUCAAGUUUGAAGAAACAUUAUUCCUGUGCACUUACAGAAAUAUUUAAAUUUUCAAGUGGGAAGUCGCAUCACUUCGCAAAUGCAAUCAAUCGUGAGCAAAGAUACAUCUUCACGUAAAGGUUUUGUCUUCACACUUGUUUUGUCUUUCCCACUUCUUGUACUCAGUUAAAGAUGCCAGACAAGUAAUUUGGGGAAAAGAAACCACGUAUAGUCAUUUAUCUGUUCUAAAUUAUAAUUUUUAUCAGUGAACUUGAUGUUUGUUACUUUAGUUCCCCUACCUUUUACGAUUUCCCAACUCUUUAUGUGAAGUUAAAGAAAACAACAAAACAAAGAAAGAGAGAAAAGCUAGGCAAUUAUAAAAGAGAUUAUUGCAUAAUAGGAGUUGUACUCCCUUAACUGAGUAUAGCGGAGAGUAUACAGCUAAUUGAGCAAGGUGCUUUAUUAACAGAGUUCACUAUAAAACAUUAGCAUACGCGAUCUUAAUAAGGAGCAAAAUAUGUUUCUCUAAUCAUUUGGGUUUAAGGUUUUCAUGUUCAAAGGGUAAUCACACCACGCCACAAUCUAAGGUCACAGGCAGUGUAAUAAAAUCUCCAGCAAAGAGCGUUUGUACCAGUUCUCUGAGAAAAGUUUCGUUUCUGGAGAGCAAAGCCUGGAGUAGUAGAUACUUGAAGAAGUCAAAAACAUAGCACAAGACAAAAAAAAAAAACAAAAAAAAAAA